GUGCUUGCUUCAGCAGCACAUAAACUAAAACUGGAAUGAUACAGAGACGAUUAGCAUUCCGCUGUGCAAGGAUGACACUCAAAUUACUGAAGCAUUCCAUAUUUUU
Molecule: small nuclear RNA, 106 nt
Filed under: Catagonus wagneri (Chacoan peccary)
Lineage: Eukaryota; Metazoa; Chordata; Mammalia; Artiodactyla; Tayassuidae
Source: RNAcentral